This 638-nucleotide ribosomal RNA is filed under the name Basiria cf. similis TSH-2005. RNAcentral describes it as "SSU rRNA". It matches the Rfam family "Eukaryotic small subunit ribosomal RNA", at positions 1003 to 1664 of the family's 1831-position model. The record is from RNAcentral. Lineage: Eukaryota; Metazoa; Nematoda; Chromadorea; Rhabditida; Tylenchidae.
GGCGAUCAGAUACCGCCCUAGUUCUGACCGUAAACGAUGCCAACUCGCGAUCCGCCGGCGGAUUCAUUCGCCCUGGUGGGGAGCGUCCCGGAAACGAAAGUCUUCCGGUUCCGGGGGAAGUAUGGUUGCAAAGCUGAAACUUAAAGGAAUUGACGGAAGGGCACCACCAGGAGUGGAGCCUGCGGCUUAAUUUGACUCAACACGGGGAAACUCACCCGGCCCGGACACCGUAAGGAUUGACAGAUUGAUAGCUUUUUCAUGAUUCGGUGGAUGGUGGUGCAUGGCCGUUCUUAGUUCGUGGAGCGAUUUGUCUGGUUUAUUCCGAUAACGAGCGAGACUCUAGCCUACUAACUAGUCCAGGCAUCGGCCUCAAGUGCCUGCGACUUCUUAGAGGGAUUUUCGGUGUUCAGCCGCACGAGAUUGAGCAAUAACAGGUCUGUGAUGCCCUUAGAUGUCCGGGGCUGCACGCGCGCUACACUGGCGAAAUCAGCGUGCCUGUCCUUUCUUGAAACGAGAUUGGUAAACCAGUGAAAAUUCGCCGUGAUUGGGAUCGGAAAUUGCAAUUAUUUUCCGUGAACGAGGAAUUCCAAGUAAGUGCGAGUCAUCAACUCGCGUUGAUUACGUCCCUGCCCUUUGUA